GAUGAACGCUGGCGGCGUGCCUAAUACAUGCAAGUCGAGCGAACAGACGAGGAGCUUGCUCCUCUGACGUUAGCGGCGGACGGGUGAGUAACACGUGGAUAACCUACCUAUAAGACUGGGAUAACUUCGGGAAACCGGAGCUAAUACCGGAUAAUAUAUUGAACCGCAUGGUUCAAUAGUGAAAGACGGUUUUGCUGUCACUUAUAGAUGGAUCCGCGCCGCAUUAGCUAGUUGGUAAGGUAACGGCUUACCAAGGCAACGAUGCGUAGCCGACCUGAGAGGGGGAGCGGCCACACUGGAACUGAGACACGGCCCAGACUCCUACGGGAGGCAGCAGUAGGAAAUCUUCCGAAAGGGGCGAAAGCCUGACGGAGCAACGCCGCGUGAGUGAUGAAGGUCUUCGGAUCGUAAAACUCUGUUAUUAGGGAAGAACAAAUGUGUAAGUAACUAUGCACGUCUUGACGGUACCUAAUCAGAAAGCCACGGCUAACUACG
This 495-nucleotide ribosomal RNA is filed under the name uncultured bacterium. RNAcentral describes it as "partial 16S ribosomal RNA". It matches the Rfam family "Bacterial small subunit ribosomal RNA", at positions 28 to 505 of the family's 1533-position model. The record is from RNAcentral.